RNAcentral lists this non-coding RNA (26 nucleotides) under Homo sapiens (human). Lineage: Eukaryota; Metazoa; Chordata; Mammalia; Primates; Hominidae. The record is from RNAcentral.
UGGGAAGGGGCUUCUCAGUGGAUGCG